This 268-nucleotide unclassified non-coding RNA is filed under the name Hevea brasiliensis (rubber tree). The record is from RNAcentral. Lineage: Eukaryota; Viridiplantae; Streptophyta; Magnoliopsida; Malpighiales; Euphorbiaceae.
GAUUGGCUUUGCAGGUGGUAACGGCACUGGUAAAGCUGUUAAUGGAACUAGUAGAAGUGGCUCACUUGCAGGCUCAAAUGGCAGCCACUCCAUUCUUAACCCCAACUACGAUGGUAAAGGAACCUAUUUGAUUUUUAAUGUCGGAGAUACCAUCUUCAUUGGCGACCUUAAUUCACCGGAUAAGGAUCCUAUAAAGUCUUUGCACUUUAGCAAUUCAAAUCCUAUAUGCCAUGCCUUUGAUCCUGAAGCUAAGGAUGGUCACGACCUA